This 459-nucleotide ribosomal RNA is filed under the name uncultured bacterium. RNAcentral's name for it is "partial 16S ribosomal RNA". It matches the Rfam family "Bacterial small subunit ribosomal RNA", at positions 339 to 795 of the family's 1533-position model. The record is from RNAcentral.
CUACGGGUCGCUGCAGUAAGGAAUAUUGCGCAAUGGAGGCAACUCUGACGCAGCCAUGCCGCGUGCAGGAAGAAGGCCUUAUGGGUCGUAAACUGCUUUUAUUUAGGAAUAAACCCCCGAACGUGUUCGGGGCUGAAGGUACUAAACGAAUAAGCACCGGCUAACUCCGUGCCAGCAGCCGCGGUAAUACGGAGGGUGCAAGCGUUAUCCGGAUUUAUUGGGUUUAAAGGGUGCGCAGGCGGGCUAUUAAGUCAGCGGUGAAAUCCCGGGGCUCAACUCCGGAACUGCCAUUGAUACUGAUAGUCUUGAGUUUGGUUGAAGUGGGCGGAAUGUAGCAUGUAGCGGUGAAAUGCAUAGAUAUGCUACAGAACACCAAUCGCGAAGGCAGCUCACUAAGCCAAAACUGACGCUCAUGCACGAAAGCGUGGGGAUCAAACAGGAUUAGAUACCCGAGUAGUC